This 2006-nucleotide long non-coding RNA is filed under the name Daphnia pulex (common water flea). Its description in RNAcentral is "uncharacterized LOC124195926". The record is from RNAcentral. Lineage: Eukaryota; Metazoa; Arthropoda; Branchiopoda; Diplostraca; Daphniidae.
ACUUUAUAAGAUUAUAUAGAUGCUCGUCAAUUAAUGUGUAACGACUCUCUAAAUUUUUCAUUUCAUUUUGCUGAAAACGCAAAGAUAAGCCAAAUAUUGUGAUAAGUCCAAUUCUCAUUUUAUGUAAUAAUUGUUGUUUCGGUGCGCACCCUAGUUUUCUGUCUUUUAUCAAUGUUCCGGCUUGCAUAAAUGAAAGUAAAGAAAAGUUUGCCCGUCCGAGUAAGGUUAGUGAAAUUAAAUUCAUCUUCCGGCAUACGUGAGGUGUGGUGUGAUUCAUUGAGUGGUUAGAUUUCUUCAUCUGACUUCUGAAAGACACUGCAAGUGACUGCAAGCAAUAAUAUUAUUCAGGGAGAAAGUGUUUAAACCAAACAAGCUGAAAGUUGCUCAGUCCUCUUUCACAAAUAGACCUUUUUCACAAUGCGAAAAGUCUGGAUUUUUCAAUCCGGCAACGCAGAAAUCGGCACGUUAGUUCCGAUUAUUUUCUCCCAUGUAAAUUCACAUAAGAAAUCGGGGUCCCUGUAGUUUAAAUUCAAUUUUUAUUUUUGGGUAUGUUAAAUUUAAAAUAUUGUUCAUAGACCGUGUUCCCCGAUGAAUUGGUAACAUUUUCAUGUAUAUAUAAUAUUGCUUCUAAUUUUUAUUCCAACUAGAUUUUUUUUGUUUUUUUGUUGAACUUUCGCUCAAUGCCGAACCACCUGUGAGUAGUGAUGCCCUUGGUGAUGGUGAUCUAGACGAAUCAUCGAAAAGAAAAAUUCCUUGUCCAGGCAAUGCUGCCUUUAACUUUUCGAAAAGGGUGGUACAACAGCGACCGCGAUUGUUCCAAAGACUGUUUGUUGUGGAAUGAAGUCUUGACCUUGCUAACAGGCCAUACGAACCAGGAUAAUAACAACAAAACGUCGCUCCAAGAAUACAUUGAAACUCUGACAUGGUAAGUAGUGGUAAGUAGUUUUCUUUCAAUUUUUUCAAAUUUCGAUAAAUCGCUAACAGUUUUUUUUUUUUCAAAACAGGAGAGUAGGGCCACUUUCUGGGAUUUUGGAAAUACUAGCGUCGGAUACUGUGGUGUGGACCAUUCCAAUAACCAACGUCAAUGGACCAAUUUGCUUGUAUUUUGCGAUCGUCAUGUAAAUCGUAUAUACCGUUCGGCAACUAAGUCAUGCCAAUCAUGCGAUCGUACUUUCAUGACAACGCAAUUUCCACCGAAACCAAGAUUUCUUAAUCUUUCGAAGAAAGAGGAGUGCCAGGACAAGACAUUGGUAUUCUUGUGCGCCCGGAAAUCGAGCGGGAGUGAAAUAAACAAGGAACAUUUCGACAACCUACUCAAGUCACUCAAACAAAGUGAAAGAACCGAGGAAGAUUUGGUAAAUUUAACCGACCUGGGUUACCAGCAAGUAUGGAAGUCGUUGGAAAAUUUGUUGCACGAACGACUGCAACUUCAAGCAUUGCUUCGAGAUACGAGCGAACAAACAAUUCGGAACCUGAUUGGCUACCAAUGACGCUACUGGCCUGGCAAUACUGUUCUGAUUGGAAUGUCUACACCUUCUUGUUUCACAAUUUCCCCAAAUCAUCUGAAAACAUUCAUCGAGGAAAUUUUUGUCCGUGGGAUCCCAAAAGACAGCCUCUUUUUUAUUGUCAUUGCCUAACGCCAAGAAUUGUAAUUCAAGCAAGUAUGAAACAGUUGUGCUGGCCCACGACUUGCUGAUCGCCUGAAAAAAACUUGUUUGUUUUGAUUUAGUUUCUCAUGAGGGCAUCAAAAACAUAGGAAAUUUGAAUUUGAUUAAACUGAUUUGUAAACUACACUUUUGACUUGCUACCAAUAACGCCUUACAAAUUUUAGAACUCGACUUGUAAUUGAAAUUAUAGAAAGUAUUCUCUUGUUUAGUGUACAUAUUUGUAUAUUAAAACGCACUUCACAUUUUCUAGUUUACAUCAAUCAACUUUAGUUAUAUGAAGUGAUCAUCAUUUUGCGAAGGUGAGGAAUGUGAAAUGUAGCGUAUAGUUCUUUCUGUCAA